RNAcentral lists this ribosomal RNA (136 nucleotides) under uncultured eukaryote. Its description in RNAcentral is "partial 18S ribosomal RNA". It matches the Rfam family "Eukaryotic small subunit ribosomal RNA", at positions 1299 to 1458 of the family's 1831-position model. The record is from RNAcentral.
UGGUGGAGUGAUUUGUCUGGUUAAUUCCGUUAACGAACGAGACCUUAACCUGCUAACUAGUCGUCGUUACCAUCCUAGCGAUUGACUUCUUAGAGGGACUUUAUGUGCAAGCAUAAGGAAGUUUGAGGCAAUAACA